Molecule: ribosomal RNA, 377 nt
Filed under: Rhinophis cf. philippinus
Lineage: Eukaryota; Metazoa; Chordata; Lepidosauria; Squamata; Uropeltidae
Description: partial small subunit ribosomal RNA
Rfam family: Bacterial small subunit ribosomal RNA
Source: RNAcentral
GCCCGAACGUAACACGACACACCACCGUCCGCCAAAUAACUACGAGUACAAACUUAAAAUUUAAAGGACUUGACGGUAUUUCACACUCAACCUAGAGGAGCCUGUCUACUAACCGAUAACCCACGAUUAACCUAACCGCUUCUAGCCCCCAGCCUAUAUACCACCGUCGCCAGCCUACCUUAUAAAAGAAACAAAGUGAGCUAAACAGUAGUACACUAAAACGACAGGUCAAGGUGUAGCUAAUGAAUCGGAUUAAGAUGGGCUACAUUUUCUAACCCAGACUAUACGGACCAGGCCAUGAAACAAGCCUUCGAAGGCGGAUUUAGUAGUAAGCUGAGAACAUAAUACUCAACUGAAAUCAAUGCAAUGAAAUGCGU